CGCCGCCGUGCGCGGGGCCGGGGCCGAGACCUGGUGCGAGGCCGGAGUCGGAGUGCUACCCGGAAUUGAGCGGGGCAACAGCUGGCAGGCGCAGGUCUUUUCUCGCAUCUAAAAGGAAGGCAGGCAGUCCCACUGAGUAGUUAGAGUAUCGGUGCCUUAACAGAUGCUGGUGUCCUACUGCUUUGGUUCAAACAUCAGCUCCAUCACUUCCUCCUGAAGGGCCUUCGAAGAAGUGGUCAAGUUAAGAUGAAGUCAUUAAGGUGGGCCCUGAUCCAAUAUGACUGGUGUCGCUAUAAGACCAAGAGAAGAAACACAGACACAUCUACUAGCCAAGCAAUGCCUGGACUCCUGGCAAACGCCAGCAUCUGGAAGAGGCAAAGAAGGACCCUGCCCUGCAGAAAUUAGACAGAGUAAGGCCCUGAUGAUCCCUGACACUGGACUCCUGCCUCCAGAACUGAGAGAGAAUAAAUGGCUGUAGUUUCCAGCCACCAAGUUCGCAGUCCUUUGUUACAGAGAUGUUAGGAGACCAGUGUACCAUCCUUGUUCCCUCUGCCCCUUGGCUAUGUUUGCAUCCAGCAUGAUGUCAUUCCAGCCAUGUCUGGUCUUUCAAACCAGCUCAUGUCUGUGGCAAAAUCAGGAAAAUCAGGGUUGUGAAAGUCCUAAAGGUCAAGGUUGUGGGAUAGAAGUCCCUACCCUCUCUCUGAUCCACACUUGUCACUUACUAGAGCUGCCCCAGAACUUUGUUUCAUUUGUUCUUGUAACUUUUUGCAGGUGGUUAUAAAGGGAAGGCAGCUGCUGCUUAGCUGUACCACACUCCCCUACUUGUGUCUCCUUGCUCAUCCCUGAGCUGAUUAAUAAACUUGUGUCA
This is a non-coding RNA of Sus scrofa (pig), 868 nucleotides long. NCBI's taxonomy places the organism in Eukaryota, Metazoa, Chordata, Mammalia, Artiodactyla, Suidae. The record is from RefSeq and is a predicted model, not a curated record.